CUUCCUCUCUGAGAGAGAUACCUGAGCCAGCAGGUCAACUCAGGUUACCUCAACAGGUAUAAGGCCCCCAGGGGAUGGACGCCAGCAAGGGAGAGCAGGUCCCCUGAACCAAAAGGCGGGAUCCUAUGGGGUCCUUAAGUCUGGAGACUUUGAAGAGGAACAAGCACACCCUAUCCCCAAACACUCCAGGCGUCAGACAUCGCCAUGCCUCUUGCCCCUCCCCUGGGUGGGAGGCUGCCCUGUCUUCCCCGGUCCUUGAGGCUCUCUGGCUGCCCCUGUGGGUACAGAAGAGGUGGGGUCGCUGCAUACACCCAGCCCGACCGCACUGCCCCUUCAGACACCAGCUCCUGCCUGAGGCAGGGAGCCCAGGCAAUGGCCAGGAGCUUGGCUGGGGGUUCUGAGUACAAAGCUGUUUGUGGGGACAGAGGAGAGGGCAGCUGGUGGAUCUCUGGCUUCUGGCUGGGUUGGUUCAGGAUGUUCCUUCUCAGGAGGCUACUUGUAUCAAGGUUGGAGGAGACUGAAGCAGGCCUCUCACUUGUUCCCACAUACCCUGACCCCACAUACCCUGACCCCACAUACCCUGACCCCACAUACCCUGACCCCACAUACCCUGGCCCCAUCAUAAGAAAUGCCAGCUUGCCCUGGACAUCCCUUGGCUUCACCUCACCCCCCACUUCCCCAGGCAGGCUGCCCAGGCCAGGAUGUGGAUGAGAACUGUCAACAGACACUCUUUAAAUAUUUACCCACACUUUCUCUGGGCGGUUUCCCCCACCCCCAAGACAGGGUACAUGCAAGUUAAUUCUAAUGAAUAAAAGAACCUUAGUUCAUCAGCACCCUUCUCUGGCCAUAUGUGCGUGCAGUGAUGUGAGCUGAACACAGACAGAGAGAAAAGGGAGAAAGUGAGAGAGCUGUAGAUAUGUGUGCUGUGUGCAUACGAAUGAAGAAGAGGAAGAAUGAUUUUUCUGGCCCUCUCCCCGUACAGUGUGUGAGGUUGUUACACACAGGGCAACACUGAGGUACACUGGGGAUAUACAGAUACUGUAUAUGCUACCUUCCACCCUGAAAAACAUCAAAUGCACCCUCACUAAACUAUCAUGCCUUGAAGCACCCCUGUCACUUCACAGAUUCUGUGCACACGCAUGCACACCCAGGCACAUAGGAAAACAAUGCCUAACAAAUACAUGCGCAGCGUUAGCUCUUUGCAUCAUGAACAAAUUUGCUACCUAUUUUCCGUCCACAUCCUGAGGCUCCCACAUCCUGGAUGAGGAAGGAGGCCGUAGGAAACCAGAUCUUUUUCUUCCCCAUCUGGAAGCCAGCUCUGGGUAUGGAGGAAGGCAUGGCAGUGCAGGGGAGGAUGGUGUUGAGAGAAGGAGCUUCCCCAUCCCACCUCUUUAUGAUUUAAAUAAUUUCUGGGGAAAUGGCCACCCUCAGCCACAUUCUCCAAGGAGAUUCACUGAUGCCCAAGCAAGAGAUGCUUCCUCUAUCCUCUGAAUUUAGAGAAACCCUCCCCCAUCUGAGUUCGGGGCUGCCCAGACUGGGAAGCCCAGACCAUGGACCCUGGAGCAGCGGGAGGGGAGGGUCAGAGGAAGGCUGUGCCAGGGCCUCAUGUCUCCCUAGGGCCCCGGAUAGUGGAGGACACGACAGGGGAGAGCAUGCUCCAGCCUUGGUUGCAGCCCUGCCUUCUCUGAGCCUGCUCUGCAGUCCUGAGCGCAUCCGGAUGGACUCUGGCUCCCAGCAUCUGAUCACCCGGACUGUCAUAAAUACUUCUCCUCCCUGCCUGGGAAGAGGAGGCUGGCAGGCCGGUCCCUUCUGGAGCCUGCACCUUAUCUUUUAGAGGGUGGAGGGGACACCGCUACAGUUUAUGGGCCAGCGAAAUCCCUGCCACACAGCUACUCUUCCGGGUCUUUGUGUCUUGGAAUGCGACUGUCCUGAGUGUGCCGCCACCACCACCACCACCGCCGGCUCUGAGAGCCCACCAGUCCUGAAAACCCUGGCCGGACUUAGUUUCCCCUUUUGGGGGGGUCCCUCGCCUUUUCUUCCUUUCUUUCAUUUGAUUGGUUUCUUUUUUUCUUUUAUGCGUAACUGGUUGAUUUUCCUUCGGGAGCCAGGAAAUAAAGAACCACAAGCAGCCAUCCUCGCUGGGGAGUCUCUGUCCCUCGCCUCGAGGCCUGCACCGCCUUUCUAGGUAUCACGGAUUUAUGUUCGUUUGUCUGGGUCAUUCUGCCUUUUUGUGUUAAUUACGCGCUGCCUGCUUCGUUCUUAUCUCCUCCGCAAAGCGAUUAUUUUCGACACCCGCCCUCCCUCGCCUCCCUCGCGAACCUGCUGUCAGGGCCAGGGCCCAUCUCCCGCCACCGCUCACGAUUUAUUUACACCUCGCAGAGACACCAAGCAAAGGCACUGCCGCGAUCCUUCCUCCUCCCCUCUUCAGGCGCAUUUCUGGGCUGGGAACACCUCCGCGCACGCCGACGCACGCUCUGAAGCUCCCGCAACCACCUGCCCGAGGCUGCACCCUGAACUCCUGGCUCUUCUUACCCUGCCGCUGGUGCCGCACCGCCUAUUCCGCCGCUGCCCGCUGGACUUUGGGGUGGGACUCUGACUUCUCCCGGCUGUUUGCCCCCUGGUUUGCAGCCCAUCCCUCUCUCACGCGCGCUCUCUCCACCUCUCCCUCCCAGCCAGUGAGGUCCUGUUCUCCGUGGGCCAUAGACAAAACAUUCCUAUAAUCUGAUUUCAAAGGGAAGAGUGUCCACCUUAUUUAAACCAUAAAACAAUUAAGCCCAGACGUCUAGCCAGCUCCGCGCUGCUGUUUUGUUCGGCCCCAUUCAGAAUCCAGCGCAGGGAGACAAACAGCGCCAUAAAAGUGGCAUUUCGGUGCUGCGGAAAUGUACCUAUCCCCGGCCUUUCCAAGUGGAACAACCUUUAGGGUUUUGUGAUUCUGACAAAGGAGCAGAGGAGAGGUGGGAGGGGAAGAUUAGGGGCAGGAGGGCGUUUGCUAGCCCCUUUCCCCCCCGCUUUCGUUUCUUUCCCCAGAUGUGUGUUGUGUCGUGGUGGUUUUAACUCACAAAUUAUAAUAAAUAAAAAUUGAAUCCAAUCCUGA
This is a long non-coding RNA of Myotis davidii, 3094 nucleotides long. RefSeq lists it as uncharacterized. NCBI's taxonomy places the organism in Eukaryota, Metazoa, Chordata, Mammalia, Chiroptera, Vespertilionidae. The record is from RefSeq and is a predicted model, not a curated record. The transcript has 2 exons.